RNAcentral lists this transfer RNA (88 nucleotides) under Mariprofundaceae bacterium. RNAcentral's name for it is "tRNA-Leu". It matches the Rfam family "tRNA". Rfam says of the family: Transfer RNA (tRNA) molecules are approximately 80 nucleotides in length. Lineage: Bacteria; Pseudomonadati; Pseudomonadota; Candidatius Mariprofundia; Mariprofundales; Mariprofundaceae. The record is from RNAcentral.
GCCGGGAUGGCGGAACUGGUAGACGCACGGGACUUAAAAUCCCGAGAGCAUUGCGCUCGUGCGGGUUCGAUUCCCGCUCCCGGUACCA